CCUACGGGAGGCAGCAGUGGGGAAUAUUGGACAAUGGGGGCAACCCUGAUCCAGCCAUGCCGCGUGUGUGAAGAAGGCCCUCGGGUUGUAAAGCACUUUCAGUGAGGAAGAACGCCUGGUGGUUAAUACCCAUCAGGAAAGACAUCACUCACAGAAGAAGCACCGGCUAACUCCGUGCCAGCAGCCGCGGUAAUACGGAGGGUGCGAGCGUUAAUCGGAAUUACUGGGCGUAAAGCGCGCGUAGGUGGCUUGAUAAGCCGGUUGUGAAAGCCCCGGGCUCAACCUGGGAACGGCAUCCGGAACUGUCAAGCUAGAGUGCAAGAGAGGAAGGUAGAAUUCCCGGUGUAGCGGUGAAAUGCGUAGAGAUCGGGAGGAAUACCAGUGGCGAAGGCGGCCUUCUGGACUGACACUGACACUGAGGUGCGAAAGCGUGGGUAGCAAACAGGAUUAGAUACCCUAGUAGUC
Molecule: ribosomal RNA, 465 nt
Filed under: Vreelandella stevensii
Lineage: Bacteria; Pseudomonadati; Pseudomonadota; Gammaproteobacteria; Oceanospirillales; Halomonadaceae
Description: partial 16S ribosomal RNA
Rfam family: Bacterial small subunit ribosomal RNA
Source: RNAcentral